Tachysurus fulvidraco (yellow catfish) is the source of this 477-nucleotide long non-coding RNA. RefSeq lists it as uncharacterized. NCBI's taxonomy places the organism in Eukaryota, Metazoa, Chordata, Actinopteri, Siluriformes, Bagridae. The record is from RefSeq and is a predicted model, not a curated record. The transcript has 4 exons.
UAAAGGAGCAGAUAUAAACCAGUGGGACUCAGAACUGGUGAACAGUCAAAGCUCAGAGACUCCAUUCUUCCAACUUUGAAGAACCCCUCAAGAUUGAAAAAUGAAGAUGAAGAUUUUGUUCAUGACUCUAGUUCUUGCCUUGAUGCUGAUGAAUGGUUCUACUUUGACAUGUUACAACUGUCCCCCGACUAGAGUGGGCAAAUGUACCCGCACUAUUAUGGAGUGCCCUACUGCGAAUCAUGUGUGUUUCAGUGGAGAACGUCUAUGGUCUAUAACUUGGAAAUUCAAAUAUAUGCAUUGCAUGAUUUUGUCAGAGUGUUUGAAGUUACAUCACCGGAUAGAUCACCGAAACGUCAAGUGCUGUACAACAGACUUAUGCAAUUGAAAUGGUGCUGAACCACAAGCAUAACCCUAAAGCAUACAUGAUGUAAAAUCUGAAACUGAAGAAAGAUCCUUAAUAAAAGUCUUUUCUCAGCA